CCUAGCCCUUCAGAGGGGACAACAGUUGGAAACGACUGCUAAUACCGCAUACGAUCCAAUCUCGGCAUCGAGACUGGAUGAAAGGUGGCCUCUAUUUAUAAGCUAUCACUGAAGGAGGGGGUUGCGUCUGAUUAGCUAGUUGGAGGGGUAACGGCCCACCAAGGCGAUGAUCAGUAGCCGGUCUGAGAGGAUGAACGGCCACAUUGGGACUGAGACACGGCCCAG
RNAcentral lists this ribosomal RNA (225 nucleotides) under uncultured bacterium. RNAcentral describes it as "partial 16S ribosomal RNA". It matches the Rfam family "Bacterial small subunit ribosomal RNA", at positions 124 to 334 of the family's 1533-position model. The record is from RNAcentral.